GGUGUAGUGGUUUGAGCACUGGAUUGUGGCUCUGGAGACCAGGGUUUGAAUCCCUGCUCAACCA
This 64-nucleotide transfer RNA is filed under the name Anolis carolinensis (green anole). It matches the Rfam family "tRNA". From Rfam's summary of the family: Transfer RNA (tRNA) molecules are approximately 80 nucleotides in length. The record is from Rfam by way of RNAcentral. Lineage: Eukaryota; Metazoa; Chordata; Lepidosauria; Squamata; Anolidae.